GGGCGGUUCAGUGGAUGCCCUGGCAGUCAGAGGCGAUGAAGGACGUGCUAAUCUGCGAUAAGCGUCGGUAAGGUGAUAUGAACCGUUAUAACCGGCGAUUUCCGAAUGGGGAAACCCAGUGUGAUUCGUCACACUAU
This 137-nucleotide ribosomal RNA is filed under the name Escherichia coli. RNAcentral's name for it is "partial 23S ribosomal RNA". It matches the Rfam family "Bacterial large subunit ribosomal RNA", at positions 19 to 151 of the family's 2925-position model. The record is from RNAcentral. Lineage: Bacteria; Pseudomonadati; Pseudomonadota; Gammaproteobacteria; Enterobacterales; Enterobacteriaceae.